AUUGAACGCUGGCGGCAUGCCUUACACAUGCAAGUCGAACGGUAACGGGCCUUCGGGUGCCGACGAGUGGCGAACGGGUGAGUAAUGUAUCGGAACGUACCUUUCAGUGGGGGAUAACGUAGCGAAAGUUACGCUAAUACCGCAUAUUCUGUGAGCAGGAAAGCAGGGGAUCGCAAGACCUUGCGCUGAUUGAGCGGCCGAUAUCAGAUUAGCUAGUUGGUGAGGUAAAGGCUCACCAAGGCGACGAUCUGUAGCGGGUCUGAGAGGAUGAUCCGCCACACUGGAACUGAGACACGGUCCAGACUCCUACGGGAGGCAGCAGUGGGGAAUUUUGGACAAUGGGGGCAACCCUGAUCCAGCCAUGCCGCGUGAGUGAAGAAGGCCUCGGUGUAAG
This 394-nucleotide ribosomal RNA is filed under the name uncultured bacterium. RNAcentral describes it as "bacterial SSU rRNA". It matches the Rfam family "Bacterial small subunit ribosomal RNA", at positions 30 to 429 of the family's 1533-position model. The record is from RNAcentral.